This 460-nucleotide ribosomal RNA is filed under the name uncultured bacterium. RNAcentral's name for it is "partial 16S ribosomal RNA". It matches the Rfam family "Bacterial small subunit ribosomal RNA", at positions 338 to 795 of the family's 1533-position model. The record is from RNAcentral.
CUUACGGGUGGCAGCAGUGAGGAAUAUUGGUCAAUGGCCGUAAGGCUGAACCAGCCAAGUCGCGGGAAGGAAGAAGGAUCUAUGGUUUGUAAACUUCUUUUAUAUGGGGAUAAAGUGAGGAACGUGUUCCCUUUUUUAUGUACCAUAUGAAUAAGUCUUGGCUAGCUCCCUGCCAGGAGCCCGGGUAAUACGGAGGAGGCGAGCGUUAUUCGGAUUUAUUGGGUUUAAAGGGUGCGUAGGGGGUUAAGUAAGUCAGCGGUGAAAGUUUGUGGCUCAACCAUAGAAUUGCCGUUGAAACUGGUUGACUUGAGUAUAUUUGAGGUAGGCGGAAUGCGUGGUGUAGCGGUGAAAUGCAUAGAUAUCACGCAGAACUCCGAUUGCGAAGGCAGCUUACUAAACUAUAACUGACACUGAAGCACGAAAGCGUGGGGAUCAAACAGGAUUAGAUACCCGAGUAGUC